GACGAACGCUGGCGGCGUGCUUAACACAUGCAAGUCGAACGGAAAGGCCCCUUUGGGGGUACUCGAGUGGCGAACGGGUGAGUAACACGUGAGUAACCUGCCCUUGACUUCGGGAUAACUUCAGGAAACUGGGGCUAAUACCGGAUAGGAAUCCUUGCUGCAUGGUGGGGGUUGGAAAGCUUCGGCGGUUUUGGAUGGACUCGCGGCUUAUCAGCUUGUUGGUGGGGUAGUGGCUUACCAAGGCUUUGACGGGUAGCCGGCCUGAGAGGGCGACCGGCCACAUUGGGACUGAGAUACGGCCCAGACUCCUACGGGAGGCAGCAGUGGGGAAGAUUGCACAAUGGGCGGAAGCCUGAUGCAGCAACGCCGCGGGCGGGAGGACGGCCUUCGGGUUGGAAACCGCUUUCAGCAGGGGCGAAGCUUGUGGUGACGGUACCUGCAGAAGAAGCACCGGCUAACUACGUG
This 465-nucleotide ribosomal RNA is filed under the name uncultured bacterium. Its description in RNAcentral is "partial 16S ribosomal RNA". It matches the Rfam family "Bacterial small subunit ribosomal RNA", at positions 28 to 507 of the family's 1533-position model. The record is from RNAcentral.